GCGAGCGUUAUCCGGAUUUACUGGGCGUAAAGGGUGCGUAGGUGGUUAUAAAAGUUUGUGGUGUAAGUGCAGUGCUUAACGCUGUGAGGCUAUGAAAACUAUAUAACUAGAGUGAGACAGAGGCAAGUGGAAUUCCAUGUGUAGCGGUAAAAUGCGUAAAUAUAUGGAGGAACACCAGUGGCGAAGGCGGCUUGCUGGGUCUAUACUGACACUGAUGCACGAAAGCGUGGGGAGCAAACAGGAUUAGAUA
Molecule: ribosomal RNA, 250 nt
Filed under: Neisseria meningitidis
Lineage: Bacteria; Pseudomonadati; Pseudomonadota; Betaproteobacteria; Neisseriales; Neisseriaceae
Description: partial 16S ribosomal RNA
Rfam family: Bacterial small subunit ribosomal RNA
Source: RNAcentral